Molecule: non-coding RNA, 180 nt
Organism: Salvia hispanica
Lineage: Eukaryota; Viridiplantae; Streptophyta; Magnoliopsida; Lamiales; Lamiaceae
Source: RefSeq, a predicted model, not a curated record
UUGAAGCACUGCAAAUCGUCAAGGACUCUGGCCUCUCUCAUCAUGUGGAUUUUCUUCAACUCAAUGUCAUCGACGCUGCAAGCAUCGCUGCUGCUGUCCAAUUCCUCACUACAAAAUAUGGGAGGCUUGACAUUCUGCUUUUGAAAGGCCCGAGGCACCAAAAUAUUCCAUGGUUCAAAA